GACGAACGCUGGCGGCGUGCUUAACACAUGCAAGUCGAACGGAAAGGCCCUGCUUUUGUGGGGUGCUCGAGUGGCGAACGGGUGAGUAACACGUGAGUAACCUGCCCUUGACUUUGUGAUAACUUCAGGAAACUGGGGCUAAUACCGGAUAGGAGCUCCUGCUGCAUGGUGGGGGUUGGAAAGUUUCGGCGGUUGGGGAUGGACUCGCGGCUUAUCAGCUUGUUGGUGGGGUAGUGGCUUACCAAGGCUUUGACGGGUAGCCGGCCUGAGAGGGUGACCGGCCACAUUGGGACUGAGAUACGGCCCAGACUCCUACGGGAGGCAGUAGUGGGGAAUAUUGCACAAUGGGCGGAAGCCUGAUGCAGAAACGCCGCGUGCGGGAUGACGGCCUUCGGGUUGUAAACCGCUUUCGCCUGUGACGAAGCGUGAGUGACGGUAAUGGGUAAAGAAGCACCGGCUAACUACGUG
RNAcentral lists this ribosomal RNA (468 nucleotides) under uncultured bacterium. RNAcentral describes it as "partial 16S ribosomal RNA". It matches the Rfam family "Bacterial small subunit ribosomal RNA", at positions 28 to 507 of the family's 1533-position model. The record is from RNAcentral.